UUAACUGUAUAUCCAGUACCAGCAAAUGGUGGAUCACCUACAUCUAUACAAGCCAAAGAUCAAGAUACAUUGAACUAUUCAAUUGACUUUUCAAUUCAACAGACUAUUCCUGCUGGAUAUGAAAACAAGUUUACAGUGAGUGGUGCUGGUCCUAUAGAUGGUUACUAUACUGCUACAGUUUCUGUAGUAGACCAAAUUAACAGGAAUGAUAUUACUUCACUACAGGUUGUUCUUAAGGCUACAGAGAAUGGCCCUUCAGAUAAUCGAAGAUCCAACAGAGCUAUAAUAAGAGUGAGCAUUGUACCGGCUAAUAAUGCUGAUCCUAUUAUAUCUAGUAACAUUUCACCAGAUUUUAUUGGUUAUAUUCGAGAAGAUGCUGCAGCUGGGGCAUUUGCUAAAUCACAGAAUUUGGAUACUACCCUUCAGCUUAUAAUUACUGAUGCUGAUGUUAAACAAGGUGAUCCCCAACCAAACUACGAUUUUACUUUGAAUCCAUCUACUACCUUUCGAGUUGAUAAUAAUGGUUUUAUACGUCUGUUAGCUGGUAAUCUGAAUUAUGAAACAGUAAGAAGCUAUACCUUUAAUGUAAUAGUCACAGAGAGAGAUACAGCUGAACGAAGACAAGCUACAACAUCCGUAACUAUAAAUGUAUUGGAUGUCAAUGAUAAUUCACCAAUUUUUACUUCGAAGAUAUAUAAUGCAACUGUCGCAGAGGGUGAUUAUUCUCCCCCUUCAGUAGCACAAGCUCUUGCUACUGUUGUUGCUACAGAUGCUGAUUUAACUGCGCCAUUUAAUACUAUUUCAUAUCAAAUAGAAUCUGUUCAACCAAACCAACCACAAAAAUUUUCUGUUGUAAGAGGUAAUGUUGUGGCUUUAAAUGGUCAAGUUACUUUAGGAGACAGUUAUGUUAUUGCAGUCCGGGCCUCAGAUGGCGGAACUCCAGCACGAAGUGAUGUGGCUAUUGUGUACUUAACUGUUACAUCAGGACAAAAUAGAAAUCCACAAAUACCAUCACCUGGAUAUACUGUAUCUGUCAGUGAGGGUAUUGUUCUUAACAGUCAAGUCUUUGAUGUUCCGGCCAGUGACCCAGAGGGCCAGCUACUGACUUAUGCAAUUACUGGUGGAGAUAUAACAUCAUCAUUUAAUAUUGGUACUCAAGGAAUUAUUCGAAAUGUAAGACUGUUAGACAGAGAAUCUAGAGAUAGACAUGAAUUAACAGUAGUGGUUACUGAUCCACAAGGUUUGACGGCUUCAACAACAGUAACUGUACUUGUAACUGAUAUUAAUGAUAAUUCCCCUGUAUUUGGGACAGCAUCCUACAACUUUAAUGUACCUGAAAAUGCUGUAAAUGCUGUUGCUGGUUCCGUAAAUGCAGCUGAUAUAGAUCUGCCGAACAACCCAAAUAGUGCUAUUACAUACAGUCUUGAUGAUCCAAAUAAUUUGUUUCUGAUAAACCAAAAUACUGGAGAAAUAUCUACUAGAGUACCUUUAGACUAUGAGGUUCAGCAGCGGUAUAUUAUCCGUGCUAUAGCUACUGAUGGUGGAAUUAACCCACGAGUUGGUACUGCUUCUGUAACUAUUGAUGUUACCGAUGUUGCUGACUCCAACCCACUUUUUAACCCAAGAGAUUAUGAAGUCAGUGUAGCCGAGGGUAGUAUAAAUGCUGCUGUAGUAACAGUUAGUGCAAUUGAUAGAGAUGGUCCUACUAAUCAAAAUAUUGUUUAUAAAUUUGGAGCUGGAGAAAUAGGAAGCUUUAUUCUUAACGAAGUAACUGGUGCAAUAACGACUCGAGUAGCACUAGAUUAUGAGACAAAAAAAUUGUAUGUAUUUCAAGUUACAACAACUGAUGGGGAAGGGGAAAAUGAUCUCUCUGGUACUGCUACAGUAACUGUCAAUGUUCGGGAUUUGAAUGAUGGAACACCUACCUUAGUAUUAAAUACAGUAAAUUCAAGACUAUUAGAGAAUGUUCCUAUUGGAACUUUAAUAAGUACUGCCAUAGGUACAGAUACUGAUGAAGAGGGACCCAAUAAUAGAAUAGUGUAUUCAAUUGAUAAUAUUAUUCCGGCCUCUGGAAUUAGUCUCUUUUUCAUUAACCCACAAACUGGUCGAUUACUUACAAGCAAUCGACUCACAUCGGAUGCUAACAGACCUGCUGAAUAUGAUCUGACAAUUAAAGCAUCUGAUGAAGGUAGCCCACCCAGAUCUGUUACACAACCUCUUAAAGUCACAGUUGUACGAAACACAGCUCCUCGAUUUGAUCCUAACGCUAGAACUAUUGAUGUUCGAGAAGAUGAAGUAGUUAAUGGGCGUAUUGGAAUAGCUACAGCUAUCGAAGUUGACACAGAGGCUCCAUUUAAUCAGAUAUCUUAUCAGCUUAUUGGAGAUGGAAUAGCUGUAGAUUAUUUCAAUGUUGAAACCAAUGGAGACAUUAUGAUCAAGAAAAACUUACGAGACGAUCCAUCUUUGACAUACACACUUCGAAUUCGUGUUACUGAUGGUGGCGGUUUAUUUAAUGACCUUACUGUUACUGUACCUGUUGACAGGAAUCUGAAUACACCAGUGGUAUCACAACAGAAUUAUACAAUAACAAUUCCAGCAAACAGAGCUCUUAACGAACGUUUAGUUCAAAUUCAAGCAAUUGAUAGUGAUUUUCAGGCUCCACACAACCAACUCAGUUUCACGAUCCAGUCCAAUCAAAAGGCUCUUGAAUAUUUAAGUGUGAAUUCAAAUGGUGAAGUGGUAUUAAUUAAGUCACCAGUUGGAGAACCCAGUUUAGACAGAUUAGAAGCUGUUGUACAAGUGAGUGAUAGAGGUCUCCCAACACCAAAAGUAGCUGCCAGGGCAUCAUAUGUUACUGUUUUAAUAGAGAGAAAUUCCCAGGAUCCUAUAUUUUUCAACACUGCUUACGUAAUUACCAUUCCUGAAACAUCACCUGUUAACUCACAGGUGAUAACAGUUCAAGCCAAUGAUUCGGAUACAAGACCUGAGUUUAGGACAAUAACAUAUGAAUUAGUUGGAGAUGACAAAGGUCCCGAUUUCUUCCAAGUUACCAGUGGAACAGGUGAUAUUACAGUUAAAGCUGAUUUAACAACAGAAGCUCAGGAUAGAUAUGUAUUACGUGUUGUUGCGAAAGAUUCAUUGACAAAUCCAAGAUCUGCUACAGCCUUGGUUUUUGUUCUUGUAACAAGAAAUUUUCAGCCACCGUCAUUUGCUGAGCCAAGUUAUUCGAUAACGAUUGGUGAAGAUCGAAGUUUAGCAACAUCUUUCAUCCAAGUUUCAGCAAGAGAUAAUGA
This is a long non-coding RNA of Patella vulgata (common limpet), 3293 nucleotides long. RefSeq lists it as uncharacterized. The transcript is spliced from 22 exons. The record is from RefSeq and is a predicted model, not a curated record. Lineage: Eukaryota; Metazoa; Mollusca; Gastropoda; Patellidae.